UACGUAGGUGGCAAGCGUUGUCCGGAAUUACUGGGCGUAAAGCGCACGUAGGCGGAUCAGCAAGUUAGGGGUGAAAUCCCGGGGCUCAACCCCGGAACUGCCUUUAAAACUGUUGGUCUGGAGGUCGAGAGAGGUGAGUGGAAUUCCGAGUGUAGAGGUGAAAUUCGUAGAUAUUCGGAGGAACACCAGUGGCGAAGGCGGCUCACUGGCUCGAUACUGACGCUGAGGUGCGAAAGCGUGGGGAGCAAACAGG
RNAcentral lists this ribosomal RNA (253 nucleotides) under uncultured bacterium. RNAcentral describes it as "partial 16S ribosomal RNA". It matches the Rfam family "Bacterial small subunit ribosomal RNA", at positions 524 to 776 of the family's 1533-position model. The record is from RNAcentral.